GAAAUGCGAUAAGUAAUGUGAAUUGCAGAAUUCAGUGAAUCAUCGAAUCUUUGAACGCACAUUGCGCCCGCCAGUAUUCUGGCGGGCAUGCCUGUCCGAGCGUCAUUUCAACCAUCAAGCCCCCGGGCUUGUGUUGGGGACCUGCGGCUGCCCGCAGGCCCUGAAAACCAGUGGCGGGCUCGCUGUCACACCGAGCGUAGUAGCAAUCACCUCGCUCAGGGCGUGCUGCGGGUUCCGGCCGUUAAACAGCCUUACAAAACCCAAGGUUGACCUCGGAUCAGGUAGGAAAACCCGCUGAACUUAAGC
This 306-nucleotide unclassified non-coding RNA is filed under the name plant metagenome. RNAcentral's name for it is "partial contains 5.8S ribosomal RNA, internal transcribed spacer 2, and large subunit ribosomal RNA". The stretch from base 1 to 105 matches the Rfam family "5.8S ribosomal RNA", at positions 50 to 154 of the family's 154-position model. The record is from RNAcentral.